Molecule: ribosomal RNA, 453 nt
Filed under: uncultured Bacteroides sp.
Lineage: Bacteria; Pseudomonadati; Bacteroidota; Bacteroidia; Bacteroidales; Bacteroidaceae
Description: partial 16S ribosomal RNA
Rfam family: Bacterial small subunit ribosomal RNA
Source: RNAcentral
ACGGGAGGCAGCAGUGAGGAAUAUUGGUCAAUGGGCGAGAGCUUGAACCAGCCAAGUCGCGUGCGGGACGAAGGCCCUACGGGUCGUAAACCGCUUUUAUACGGGAAUAAAGUGCGCCACGCGUGGCGUUUUGCAGGUACCGUAGGAAUAAGGAUCGGCUAACUCCGUGCCAGCAGCCGCGGUAAUACGGAGGAUCCGAGCGUUAUCCGGAUUUAUUGGGUUUAAAGGGUGCGUAGGCGGGAAGUCAAGUCAGCCGUAAAAUCGCCGGGCUCAACCCGGUCCCGCGGUUGAAACUGUCUUCCUUGAGUACACUAGAGGGCGAUGGAAUUCGUGGUGUAGCGGUGAAAUGCAUAGAUAUCACGAAGAACUCCGAUUGCGUAGGCAGUCGCCUGGGGUGCCACUGACGCUGAGGCACGAAGGUGCGGGUAUCAAACAGGAUUAGAUACCCUGGUA